This 464-nucleotide ribosomal RNA is filed under the name uncultured bacterium. RNAcentral describes it as "partial 16S ribosomal RNA". It matches the Rfam family "Bacterial small subunit ribosomal RNA", at positions 339 to 795 of the family's 1533-position model. The record is from RNAcentral.
CUACGGGCCGCUGCAGUGGGGAAUAUUGCACAAUGGGCGCAAGCCUGAUGCAGCCAUGCCGCGUGUAUGAAGAAGGCCUUCGGGUUGUAAAGUACUUUCAGCGGGGAGGAAGAGAGUAAAGUUAAUACCUUUGCUCAUUGACGUUACCCGCAGAAGAAGCACCGGCUAACUCCGUGCCAGCAGCCGCGGUAAUACGGAGGGUGCAAGCGUUAAUCGGAAUUACUGGGCGUAAAGCGCACGCAGGCGGUUUGUUAAGUCAGAUGUGAAGUCCCCGGGCUCAACCUGGGAACUGCAUCUGAUACUGGCAAGCUUGAGUCUCGUAGAGGGGGGUAGAAUUCCAGGUGUAGCGGUGAAAUGCGUAGAGAUCUGGAGGAAUACCGGUGGCGAAGGCGGCCCCCUGGACGAAGACUGACGCUUAGGUGCGAAAGCGUGGGGAGCAAACAGGAUUAGAUACCCUUGUAGUC